Molecule: ribosomal RNA, 241 nt
Filed under: uncultured Actinomycetales bacterium
Lineage: Bacteria; Bacillati; Actinomycetota; Actinomycetes; Actinomycetales
Description: partial 16S ribosomal RNA
Rfam family: Bacterial small subunit ribosomal RNA
Source: RNAcentral
CGUCGAGUGGCGAACGGGUGAGUAACACGUGGGUGAUCUGCCCUGCACUUCGGGAUAAGCCUGGGAAACUGGGUCUAAUACCGGAUAGGACGAUGGUUUGGAUGCCAUUGUGGAAAGUUUUUCGGUGUGGGAUGAGCUCGCGGCCUAUCAGCUUGUUGGUGGGGUAAUGGCCUACCAAGGCGUCGACGGGUAGCCGGCCUGAGAGGGUGUACGGCCACAUUGGGACUGAGAUACGGCCCAG